RNAcentral lists this ribosomal RNA (481 nucleotides) under uncultured bacterium. RNAcentral describes it as "partial 16S ribosomal RNA". It matches the Rfam family "Bacterial small subunit ribosomal RNA", at positions 30 to 506 of the family's 1533-position model. The record is from RNAcentral.
AUUGAACGCUGGCGGCAUGCUUUACACAUGCAAGUCGAACGGUAACAGGCCGCAAGGUGCUGACGAGUGGCGAACGGGUGAGUAAUGCAUCGGAACGUGCCCAGUCGUGGGGGAUAACUACUCGAAAGAGUAGCUAAUACCGCAUACGAUCUAUGGAUGAAAGCGGGGGACCGUAAGGCCUCGCGCGAUUGGAGCGGCCGAUGUCAGAUUAGGUAGUUGGUGGGGUAAAGGCUCACCAAGCCAACGAUCUGUAGCUGGUCUGAGAGGACGACCAGCCACACUGGGACUGAGGCACGGCCCAGACUCCUACGGGAGGCAGCAGUGGGGAAUAUUGGACAAUGGGCGCAAGCCUGAUCCAGCAAUGCCGCGUGCAGGAAGAAGGCCUUCGGGUUGUAAACUGCUUUUGUACGGAACGAAACGGCUCUGGUUAAUACCCGGGGCUAAUGACGGUACCGUAAGAAUAAGCACCGGCUAACUACGU